This 317-nucleotide ribosomal RNA is filed under the name Pleurotus sp. PLHP-1. RNAcentral's name for it is "partial small subunit ribosomal RNA". Lineage: Eukaryota; Fungi; Basidiomycota; Agaricomycetes; Agaricales; Pleurotaceae. The record is from RNAcentral.
CCGUUACGGCCCCCCCUGUCUGUCGCUGGGGAGGUGUUUAAUUUGGGGUAAAGCCCCACGAAAAUAAAACUUUUAUCUAAGUUUGCCUUUCUAAAAUUGUGUUAUUUUAGAAAUUUAAAUUAUUAAUUUAAUUUUUUCCUAGUCCCUUAUCCUAAAGAUGAGGAGACAUAGGUAGGUAGUUUUUAUUUAUAUAUUUUUAUUUUAGUAUAAAAAAUAAUAAUUUUUGCAUUAAAAAAACACUUAUAUUAAGCUAUUUAGUAUCUGUUAACCCAUUUAAGUAACAUCUCAAAAGUCAUAGCAAGGUAGCUUGUACUGGG